This 28-nucleotide small RNA is filed under the name Bombyx mori (domestic silkworm). Its description in RNAcentral is "ovarian small RNA-38277". Lineage: Eukaryota; Metazoa; Arthropoda; Insecta; Lepidoptera; Bombycidae. The record is from RNAcentral.
UUUCAUCAUUUUGAUGAGGUGACGCACU